Molecule: ribosomal RNA, 253 nt
Filed under: uncultured bacterium
Lineage: Bacteria
Description: partial 16S ribosomal RNA
Rfam family: Bacterial small subunit ribosomal RNA
Source: RNAcentral
UACGUAGGGGGCAAGCGUUGUCCGGAUUUAUUGGGCGUAAAGAGCGUGUAGGCGGCCUGACAAGUCUGCUGUGAAAACUCGAGGCUCAACCUCGAGAUGUCGGCGGAAACUGUCUGGCUAGAGUCCGGAAGAGGAGAGUGGAAUUCCUGGUGUAGCGGUGAAAUGCGCAGAUAUCGGGAGGAACACCUAUGGCGAAGGCAGCUCGCUGGGACGUUACUGACGCUGAGACGCGAAAGCGUGGGGAGCAAACAGG